UAGGGAAUCUUCGGCAAUGGGGGGAACCCUGACCGAGCAACGCCGCGUGAGUGAAGAAGGUUUUCGGAUCGUAAAGCUCUGUUGUUAAGGAAGAACGAGUGUGAGAAUGGAAAGUUCAUACUGUGACGGUACUUAACCAGAAAGGGACGGCUAACUACGUGCCAGCAGCCGCGGUAAUACGUAGGUCCCGAGCGUUGUCCGGAUUUAUUGGGCGUAAAGCGAGCGCAGGCGGUUAGAUAAGUCUGAAGUUAAAGGCAGUGGCUCAACCAUUGUAGGCUUUGGAAACUGUUUAACUUGAGUGCAGAAGGGGAGAGUGGAAUUCCAUGUGUAGCGGUGAAAUGCGUAGCUAUAUGGAGGAACACCGGUGGCGAAAGCGGCUCUCUGGUCUGUAACUGACGCUGAGGCUCGAAAGCGUGGGGAGCGAACAGG
RNAcentral lists this ribosomal RNA (429 nucleotides) under Bacteroidota bacterium. RNAcentral describes it as "Bacteroidetes bacterium partial 16S ribosomal RNA". It matches the Rfam family "Bacterial small subunit ribosomal RNA", at positions 355 to 776 of the family's 1533-position model. Lineage: Bacteria; Pseudomonadati; Bacteroidota. The record is from RNAcentral.